Molecule: ribosomal RNA, 1930 nt
Filed under: Balta sp.
Lineage: Eukaryota; Metazoa; Arthropoda; Insecta; Blattodea; Pseudophyllodromiidae
Description: SSU rRNA
Rfam family: Eukaryotic small subunit ribosomal RNA
Source: RNAcentral
GAUCCCUGGUUGAUCCUGCCAGUAGUCAUAUGCUUGUCUCAAAGAUUAAGCCAUGCAUGUGUCAGUCCAAGCCAAGUUAAGGUGAAACCGCGAAUGGCUCAUUAAAUCAGUUAUGGUUCCUUUGAUGGCUUAAAUUUUUUACUUGGAUAACUGUGGUAAUUCUAGAGCUAAUACAUGCAACUGAGUCCCGACCGGAGACGGGAGGGACGCACUUAUUAGAUCAAAACCAAUCGGGCGCUCGCGUCCGUUGGCCUUGGUGACUCUGAAUAAGUUGUGGCUGAUCGCACGGUCUCGCACCGGCGACGCAUCUUUCAAAUGUCUGCCUUAUCAACUGUCGAUGGUAGGUUCUGCGCCUACCAUGGUGGUAACGGGUAACGGGGAAUCAGGGUUCGAUUCCGGAGAGGGAGCCUGAGAAACGGCUACCACAUCCAAGGAAGGCAGCAGGCGCGCAAAUUACCCACUCCCGGCACGGGGAGGUAGUGACGAUAAAUAACGAUACGGGACUCAUCCGAGGCCCCGUAAUCGGAAUGAGAACACUUUAAAUCCUUCCACGAUUAACCAUCGGAGGGCAAGUCUGGUGCCAGCAGCCGCGGUAAUUCCAGCUCCGAUAGCGUAUAUUAAAGUUGUUGCGGUUAAAAAGCUCGUAGUCGGACUUGUGUCCCGCUCUGCCGGUUCACCGCCCGUCGGUGUUCAACUGGCAUGUAUGCGGUACGUCCUGCCGGUGGCCCAAAGCGUUAGCGGUAAGCUCGGCGCUCAGCUCCGCCUCGUGCGGGGUGGCGUGUUGUGCUCCGCUUUCGUGGAGGGCCUGCUCAUACCCGUCGCGGGUGCUCUUAACCGAGUGUCUCGAUGGGCCGGCACGUUUACUUUGAACAAAUUAGAGUGCUUAAAGCAGGCAGCUACCGCCUGAAUAUCGAGUGCAUGGAAUAAUGGAAUAGGACCUCGGUUCUAUUUUGUUGGUUUUCGGAAUCCCCGAGGUAAUGAUCAAUAGGGACAGACGGGGGCAUUCGUAUUGCGACGUUAGAGGUGAAAUUCUUGGAUCGUCGCAAGACGGACUGAAGCGAAAGCAUUUGCCAAGAAUGUUUUCUCUGAUCAAGAACGAAAGCCAGAGGUUCGAAGGCGAUCAGAUACCGCCCUAGUUCUGACCAUAAACGAUGCCAGCCAGCAAUCCGUCGAAGUUCCUCCGAUGACUCGACGGGCGGCUUCCGGGAAACCAAAGCUAUUGGGUUCCGGGGGAAGUAUGGUUGCAAAGCUGAAACUUAAAGGAAUUGACGGAAGGGCACUACCAGAAGUGGAGCCUGCGGCUUAAUUUGACUCAACACGGGUAACCUCAUCAGGUCCGGACUCCGGGAGGAUUGACAGAUUGAGAGCUCUUUCUUGAUUCGGAGGGUGGUGGUGCAUGGCCGUUCUUAGUUGGUGGACUGAUCUGUCUGCUUGAUUGCGAUAACGAACGAGACUCUAGCCUGCUAACUAGUCGUACCGGGAUCCUUAGCGCUCCCGGCGAUUUACGAUCUUCUUAGAGGGACGGGCGGCGUCUAGCCGCAUGAGACAGAGCAAUAACAGGUCUGUGAUGCCCUUAGAUGUCCUGGGCCGCACGCGCGCUACACUGAAGGAAUCAGCGUGUAUUCCCUGUCCGAGAGGACCGGGUAACCCGUUGAACCUCCUUCGUGCUAGGGAUUGGGGCUUGCAAUUAUUCCCCAUGAACGAGGAAUGUCUAGUAGGCGCGAGUCAUCAGCUCGCGCCGAUUACGUCCCUGCCCUUUGUCCACACCGCCCGUCGCUACUACCGAUUGAAUGAUUUAGUGAGGCCUUCGGACCGCGGGGCGAAGGGUCUGUACCCUUCGAUUCUGCGGGAAGAUGUCCGAACUUGAUUAUUUAGAGGAAGUAAAAGUCGUAACAAGGUUUCCGUAGGUGAACCUGCGGAAGGAUCAUUA